This 74-nucleotide transfer RNA is filed under the name Planctomycetaceae bacterium. RNAcentral's name for it is "tRNA-Arg". It matches the Rfam family "tRNA". Rfam says of the family: Transfer RNA (tRNA) molecules are approximately 80 nucleotides in length. Their secondary structure includes four short double-helical elements and three loops (D, anti-codon, and T loops). The record is from RNAcentral. Lineage: Bacteria; Pseudomonadati; Planctomycetota; Planctomycetia; Planctomycetales; Planctomycetaceae. RNAcentral also lists the same sequence under 2 other names.
GCGCCCGUAGCUCAGCUGGAUAGAGCAACGGAUUUCUAAUCCGUCGGUCGGGGGUUCGAAUCCCUCCGGGCGUA